GUAUAUGUUUUAUAGGCACAACAUUCUAUCGACAUACAUUGGGGUAAAUGAAGCAACAUAGACCUGAAAGGCCUACAAAAAGUGCACAGGUGGAGAUAUAAAAAUGACAAGGCGUGCACAUGCUCCCUAGAGAACCAGCAACAACCCAUCAGGUUUAUUUCAAUAAUGAUCCUUCCGCAGGUUCACCUACGGAAA
This 195-nucleotide unclassified non-coding RNA is filed under the name uncultured fungus. RNAcentral describes it as "sequence contains ITS1". The record is from RNAcentral. Lineage: Eukaryota; Fungi.